This 18-nucleotide non-coding RNA is filed under the name Rattus norvegicus (Norway rat). The record is from RNAcentral. Lineage: Eukaryota; Metazoa; Chordata; Mammalia; Rodentia; Muridae.
CAUAUAUACAACCGGGUC